AUGUUCCUACGGGGGGCAGCAGUGAGGGAUAUUGGUCAAUGGGGGAAACCCUGAACCAGCAACGCCGCGUGAGGGAAGACGGUUUUCGGAUUGUAAAGCUCUAUCAGCAGGGAAGAAAAUGACGGUACCUGACUAAGAAGCCCCGGCUAACUACGUGCCAGCAGCCGCGGUAAUACGUAGGGGGCAAGCGUUAUCCGGAUUUACUGGGUGUAAAGGGAGCGUAGACGGAGGAGCAAGUCUGAUGUGAAAAUCCGGGGCCCAACCCCGGAACUGCAUUGGAAACUGUUUAUCUAGAGUGUCGGAGA
RNAcentral lists this ribosomal RNA (305 nucleotides) under uncultured bacterium. RNAcentral's name for it is "bacterial SSU rRNA". It matches the Rfam family "Bacterial small subunit ribosomal RNA", at positions 333 to 655 of the family's 1533-position model. The record is from RNAcentral.